Molecule: unclassified non-coding RNA, 275 nt
Filed under: Hevea brasiliensis (rubber tree)
Lineage: Eukaryota; Viridiplantae; Streptophyta; Magnoliopsida; Malpighiales; Euphorbiaceae
Source: RNAcentral
GGUGCUUGAUCCUAAGUAAGCAAUCAGGCUAAAAUUUGUGUAAUGUUGUUAUAUUAGUGUUUUGGGUUUUGAUAUUCUUAUUCCUUUUGGCUAAGAAAGAGAUAAAUGAAAUAAUGUAUAUCAUUGAUCUAUUUGCUCAAUGGUUUUUCCUCGUGCAUUUGCCAAAUCUUCUAAGGUUCUUGUUAUAUCUUUCUUGCCACUUCUGUCUGUCCAGCGCACCUUUUGUGGAAAUGCUAAAAGAUAUCUGUUUAUGUUGCAGACUUGGUGCAGAGAUU